CAGUAGCCACGGUAAUACAGAGGGUGCAAGCGUUAAUCGGAAUUACUGGGCGUAAAGCGCGCGUAGGUGGUUUGUUAAGUUGGAUGUGAAAGCCCCGGGCUCAACCUGGGAACUGCAUCCAAAACUGGCAAGCUAGAGUACGGUAGAGGGUGGUGGAAUUUCCUGUGUAGCGGUGAAAUGCGUAGAUAUAGGAAGGAACACCAGAGGCGAAGGCGACCACCUGGACUGAUACUGACACUGAGGUGCGAAAGCGUGGGGAGCAAACAGGAUUAGAUACCCCGGUAGUCCCUGUCUCUUAUAC
This 301-nucleotide ribosomal RNA is filed under the name uncultured bacterium. RNAcentral's name for it is "partial 16S ribosomal RNA". It matches the Rfam family "Bacterial small subunit ribosomal RNA", at positions 509 to 807 of the family's 1533-position model. The record is from RNAcentral.